This 459-nucleotide ribosomal RNA is filed under the name uncultured Pseudomonas sp. RNAcentral describes it as "bacterial SSU rRNA". It matches the Rfam family "Bacterial small subunit ribosomal RNA", at positions 264 to 714 of the family's 1533-position model. The record is from RNAcentral. Lineage: Bacteria; Pseudomonadati; Pseudomonadota; Gammaproteobacteria; Pseudomonadales; Pseudomonadaceae.
CCUACCAAGGCGACGAUCCGUAACUGGUCUGAGAGGAUGAUCAGUCACACUGGAACUGAGACACGGUCCAGCUUCAAACGGGAGGCAGCAGUGGGGAAUAUUGGACAAUGGGCGAAAGCCUGAUCCAGCCAUGCCGCGUGUGUGAAGAAGGUCUUCGGAUUGUAAAGCACUUUAAGUUGGGAGGAAGGUCAGUAAGCUAAUACCUUGCUGUUUUGACGUUACCGACAGAAUAAGCACCGGCUAACUCUGUGCCAGCAGCCGCGGUAAUACAGAGGGUGCAAGCGUUAAUCGGAAUUACUGGGCGUAAAGCGCGCGUUAGGUGGUUUGUUAAGUUGGAUGUGAAAGCCCCGGGCUCAACCUGGGAACUGCAUCCAUAACUGCCUGACUAGAGUACGGUAGAGGGUGGUGGAAUUUCCUGUGUAGCGGUGAAAUGCGUAGAUAUAGGAAGGAACACCAGUG